GACGUAGGAUGCGAGCGUUGUCCGGAUUUAUUGGGCGUAAAGAGUUCGUUAAGUUUGAUGUUAAAGAUCGGGGCUCAACCUCGGGACAGCAUUGAAUACUGGCAGACUUGAGUAUGGUAGAGGCUAGUGGAAUUCCCAGUGUAGCGGUGAAAUGCGUAGAUAUUGGGAAGAACACCGGUGGCGUAGGCGACUAGCUGGGCCAUAACUGACGCUGAGGAACGAAAGCCAGGGGAGCGAAAGGG
This 242-nucleotide ribosomal RNA is filed under the name uncultured bacterium. Its description in RNAcentral is "partial 16S ribosomal RNA". It matches the Rfam family "Bacterial small subunit ribosomal RNA", at positions 524 to 776 of the family's 1533-position model. The record is from RNAcentral.